RNAcentral lists this ribosomal RNA (253 nucleotides) under uncultured bacterium. Its description in RNAcentral is "partial 16S ribosomal RNA". It matches the Rfam family "Bacterial small subunit ribosomal RNA", at positions 524 to 776 of the family's 1533-position model. The record is from RNAcentral.
UACGUAGGGCGCAAGCGUUGUCCGGAAUUAUUGGGCGUAAAGAGCUCGUAGGCGGCUUGUCACGUCGAUUGUGAAAGCCCGAGGCUUAACCUCGGGUCUGCAGUCGAUACGGGCUAGCUAGAGUGUGGUAGGGGAGAUCGGAAUUCCUGGUGUAGCGGUGAAAUGCGCAGAUAUCAGGAGGAACACCGGCGGCGAAGGCGGAUCUCUGGGCCAUUACUGACGCUGAGGAGCGAAAGCGUGGGGAGCGAACAGG